CGGGGUGCAGCAGUCGAGAAUUUUUCUCAAUGGGCGAAAGCCUGAAGGAGCGACGCCGCGUGGGGGAUGAAUGGCUUCGGCCCGUAAACCCCUGUCAUUUGCGAACAAAUUAAUCUACUUAACACAUAGAUUAUUGAUUGUAGUAGAAGAGGAAGGGACGGCUAACUCUGUGCCAGCAGCCGCGGUAAUACAGAGGUCCCAAGCGUUGUUCGGAUUCACUGGGCGUAAAGGGUGCGUAGGCGGUCGGGUAAGUCUGGCGUGAAAUCUCCGAGCCUAACUCGGAAACUGCGCUGGAUACUAUCCGGCUUGAGGAAUGGAGGGGAGACUGGAAUACUUGGUGUAGCAGUGAAAUGCGUAGAUAUCAAGUGGAACACCAGUGGCGAAGGCGAGUCUCUGGACAUUUCCUGACGCUGAGGCACGAAAGCCAGGGGAGCAAACGGGAUUAGAUACCCGAGU
Molecule: ribosomal RNA, 456 nt
Filed under: uncultured Verrucomicrobiota bacterium
Lineage: Bacteria; Pseudomonadati; Verrucomicrobiota
Description: bacterial SSU rRNA
Rfam family: Bacterial small subunit ribosomal RNA
Source: RNAcentral